GGCGGAGUAGCUCAGUUGGUGAGAGCGCACGACUCAUAAUCGUGAGGUCGCGGGUUCGAGUCCCGCUUCCGCUACCA
Molecule: transfer RNA, 77 nt
Filed under: Microbacterium sp.
Lineage: Bacteria; Bacillati; Actinomycetota; Actinomycetes; Micrococcales; Microbacteriaceae
Also listed under: 1 other name
Description: tRNA-Met
Rfam family: tRNA
About the family: Transfer RNA (tRNA) molecules are approximately 80 nucleotides in length. Their secondary structure includes four short double-helical elements and three loops (D, anti-codon, and T loops).
Source: RNAcentral